This 311-nucleotide unclassified non-coding RNA is filed under the name Hevea brasiliensis (rubber tree). The record is from RNAcentral. Lineage: Eukaryota; Viridiplantae; Streptophyta; Magnoliopsida; Malpighiales; Euphorbiaceae.
GGAUAGCCUUGCCUAAUGGCCGGUUUUGGUCUGAUAAUCCAACCAAUGGCCUUGAAUUGGACCGUAGGGCACUAGUUCCCAACGGUUUUGCUCCCAGCGAUUCUGAUUUGGUUCUAGACUAGGCUGUGGAGUAGUCUUAGCUUGUUCUAGCUCUGAACUAGCCAAAAUUAUUUUUUUAAGAAAAAAUAAAUUGUGCAUUUUUACAUAAAAUUCAUUGUGCGUUUCUUGUAUACAAAGAUAACAAAAAAAUUACUGGUAUUUGUAAUUGAAUGGAAAAAAAAUUGAAGUAUAUAUUAUUAUUAUUAUUAUUA